UCUUUAACAAAAAUGAGGCAACGUUAACUUAAAUACAAGGUUGUGUUUGUGGGUUGAGGCUAAGUGCAGGGAACUCCAGAUGAGAUUAGCAUUACUUAGGUGAAAGCAGCAGCAGUCAAGAUCUGGAUUUGGGGCCAAGGUAAAUAAGAAGUUGAAACAAGUUAUGGUUUUUACCAGUGCCAGCUCCGGUGUUUUGUGACCUUGCUGUCCCCAAGGAGAGCCGCACAGGCGUUCCGGUGCUGCGCUGGGUGCUGGUACUCACAGGACCACACUUCAUGCAAGAGGGCGCUCAGGCUCGGAAAAGUUUUGCUGAGGGUGUACAGCUCAAGGUAGCAAAUGUUCAAACUGGUGAGCUGGAAACUCUUUCUGUGGGGAUCUUUUGACAUUAGCUGCAAUGCGCUCUGUC
This 406-nucleotide long non-coding RNA is filed under the name Struthio camelus australis. Its description in RNAcentral is "lncRNA (ENSSCUG00000002207.1)". Lineage: Eukaryota; Metazoa; Chordata; Aves; Struthioniformes; Struthionidae. The record is from RNAcentral.